GUACAUCCAUACCAUUCUUAGGACUUGAAACCGUGAAAAACCCGAGAAAACCUAAUCCCGAUUUUGUGCAUUGUUCAUGCACACAUAAAACCUUGUGUUUCAAGGAAUUCUAAGGAUAUAUGAAGCUUAAGGAGGUCCUCACGAGUCUCAGGGCACUUCAUUGGAAGGAUUUGGACGUCGGAGGGCUAAGAUCUACGUAUAUCUAGGUAAGCUGAACUAUCGAGCUUUCUCAGGGAAAACUUAGUAGAUUUUAAGCCUUGAAACUUGUAUAAUGUGAUUCUACAUGUUAUUAGCUUCAUUUUGGUACCAAUUUCAUGAAAAAUGGUGA
RNAcentral lists this long non-coding RNA (328 nucleotides) under Malus domestica (apple). RNAcentral's name for it is "long non-coding RNA (MDOM_LNC006812)". The record is from RNAcentral. Lineage: Eukaryota; Viridiplantae; Streptophyta; Magnoliopsida; Rosales; Rosaceae.